GACCUUUACUACAGUCUCUGAGAAGAUGGACACCUCUUCUUCUUCUGGACGAUCUCCGUCUCCUACUGGGACUGUCUUCUUACCCCCUCCUAUCAUGUGGAACAGUCUCUACAAGCAGGCAGAGAUGGAGUUUCAGUUCCUGAGAGAAGAGAAGAAGACCUGUACAACGAAGGAAGCCCACAUGCUUGAGUUGAGAGGGAAGGAUCGAACGAUCCGAAAUCAGAAGAAGGAGAUGGACAGACUUCAAGUCUGCCUCUGGGAGGAGGAAAAGAAGAAGAGCAAUGAUGGAACGGAGAAGGACAAGAUCAUUGAACAUCUACAGUCUGAGACAGACCAUCUCAGAUCCCUUUUAAAAGAGGAAAGGAGGAAAAGAAGAGUAGAAAGGGGUCUAAUGAAUGAGUGGAAGGCUGAGAUCCUGAGACUGAGGGAGUCAGAGAGCCAGAGAGAGGCAGAGAGCCAGAGGGAGGCAGAGAGACAGAGGGAGUCAGAGAGCCAGAGAGAAGCAGAGAGACAGAGGGAGGCAGAGAGACAGAGGGAGGCAGAGAGACAGAGAGAAGCAGAGAGACAGAGAGAAGCAGAGAGACAGAGAGAAGCAGAGAGACAGAGGGAGGCAGAGAGAGUCACAGAAGCGAUGGAGAACCAGAGAAAAAUGCAGGAGAUCAAGAGAGUCAAACAUCUGCUGGAGCUACUGAUGGUGGAUCUACAACUGGCCCACGUAAGACAUGUCAUUGUUAUUAUUAAAAGGCAGUGUAUAUUCACCCAGCUGAAAAUGAAUGACGGUGGACAGCGGUACACUAACCCAAUGUUAACUUUUAUGCCUUUCCUUAACAUUAACCCUUACCUUGACCUCACUGAAACUAUACCUAACCUUUACCUUAACCCAACCCUAGGUCCUGAACCUAACCUUCAUUUAUCUCAACCCCUAUGCCUUUCUUCUGCCGGUUGAAUAUCCACUUCCUUAUUAACAUCAUUACUGUUGUUGUUGUUGAUAACUGUAUGUGUGCAGGUUGUAAAUAAUUGCAUUAGUGAAACAUCAUUUGUAGGAGUAAUUUCUGCAAGCAUAAACAUCAGAGGCAACAUUGUUAUAACAUCACACAAAUUGCAACGGGAAUUUCUCAAACCGCUAACUGAAUGGGCAAGCUAGUUGUGUGUUUGUAUUUGUCCAUAAAAUGUCUCGUAAUUUUUUCAAACAUGUCAAUACAUUAAUUGACAAUGAAUUGUCCAGAUGAAUUGAUCAAAAUAACCCUGCUAUUGAUGUUGUCCAGUGUUUGAUUCAAUUACCUAGGUCUAGGUUGUAUUUCUAUGUAUCAUUCUCUGCAAAUCCUUUGAAAGUAUGUCUUGGUCAUAGAUUAUCACUAAUUUCACCUUUUAAAAUGAAGCAAGAGAUAGAGAGAUUGAGGCUAUGGCAGAAAGUCAUGGAGGAUCAGCGACCAAGACUGGCCUGGAACAACAAACCUAUUGAGACAGAAAGAGAGAGGGAAAGAGAGAGG
Molecule: long non-coding RNA, 1490 nt
Organism: Salmo trutta (river trout)
Lineage: Eukaryota; Metazoa; Chordata; Actinopteri; Salmoniformes; Salmonidae
Source: Ensembl